GUGUUAGGAUCCAUAUAAAUACGCUCCAAUUUUCGAACCAGUCAUCCGCUUGAAAACAGCAACAGCGGCGCCGGGUGCCUUCAGUUCACAGCUAUUGCAGCGCUACUCUCGUCAUGUUGACUACGACUUCCUGUGCUAAAGGGCGAACCUGUUGUAAAGACCAAACGCCACGUGCCUUCAGUUCACAGCUAUUGCAGUGUCACCCUCGUCGUGUUGACUAAGACUUCCUUUGCUAAAGGGCGAACCUGUUGUACAGACCAUCAUUUGCAACGACACCAGUGGUGAUUCUGCAUUCCUUCAGAAGCUUUAAGCCAGCAUGGGCUUCAGCUUGGUGUCCAGCGCUGCAUGGACAUUUGGGGACGCCAAGUCAACUGUAGCAAAUUCUGAAAGACUGCAGACAUGGUGUACAACCUCUGUCUCUCCGUUCCUUUGGAAUAUUGAGGAGUCUUUGGAUGAACUCGCGUUUACUUCUGGCAUGUGUAGCUAGCAAACCUUCACGUGCAUGACGUGGGCUUGAUCAUCGAUGUUGUUGUUGGA
Long non-coding RNA from Patiria miniata (bat star), 537 nucleotides. RefSeq lists it as uncharacterized. The transcript is spliced from 4 exons. Lineage: Eukaryota; Metazoa; Echinodermata; Asteroidea; Valvatida; Asterinidae. The record is from RefSeq and is a predicted model, not a curated record.